AGUGGCGGACGGGUGAGUAACGCGUGAGAAUCUGCCUUGGGGUCGGGGACAACCACUGGAAACGGUGGCUAAUACCGGAUAAGCCGAUUGGUGAAAGAUUUAUUGCCCGAAGAGGAGCUCGCGUCUGAUUAGCUAGUUGGUGAGGUAAGAGCUCACCAAGGCAGCGAUCAGUAGCUGGUCUGAGAGGACGAUCAGCCACACUGGGACUGAGACACGGCCCAGACUCCUACGGGAGGCAGCAGUGGGGAAUUUUCCGCAAUGGGCGAAAGCCUGACGGAGCAAGACCGCGUGAGGGAGGAAGGCUCUUGGGUUGUAAACCUCUUUUCUCAGGGAAGAAGCUCUGACGGUACCUGAGGAAUCAGCCUCGGCUAACUCCGUGCCAGCAGCCGCGGUAAUACGGAGGAGGCAAGCGUUAUCCGGAAUUAUUGGGCGUAAAGCGUCCGCAGGUGGCGAUUCAAGUCUGCUGUCAAAGCACGGGGCUUAACUCCGUAAAGGCAGUGGAAACUGAAUAGCUAGAGUGCCGUAGGGGUAGAGGGAAUUCCCGGUGUAGCGGUAAAAUGCGUAGAGAUCGGGAAGAACAUCGGUGGCGAAAGCGCUCUACUGGACGGCAACUGACACUCAGGGACGAAAGCUAGGGGAGCGAAUGGGAUUAGAUACCCC
Molecule: ribosomal RNA, 660 nt
Filed under: uncultured bacterium
Lineage: Bacteria
Description: bacterial SSU rRNA
Rfam family: Bacterial small subunit ribosomal RNA
Source: RNAcentral